GUCCAUGCCGUAAACGUUGGGAACUAGAUGUGGGACCAUUCCACGGUCUCCGUGUCGCAGCUAACGCAUUAAGUUCCCCGCCUGGGGAGUACGGCCGCAAGGCUAAAACUCAAAGGAAUUGACGGGGCCCGCACAAGCGGCGGAGCAUGCGGAUUAAUUCGAUGCAACGCGAAGAACCUUACCAAGGCUUGACAUAUACGAGAACGCUGCAGAAAUGUAGAACUCUUUGGACACUCGUAUACAGGUGGUGCAUGGUUGUCGU
RNAcentral lists this ribosomal RNA (262 nucleotides) under uncultured bacterium. Its description in RNAcentral is "partial 16S ribosomal RNA". It matches the Rfam family "Bacterial small subunit ribosomal RNA", at positions 793 to 1055 of the family's 1533-position model. The record is from RNAcentral.